AGAGUUUGAUCAUGGCUCAGAUUGAACGCUGGCGGCAGGCCUAACACAUGCAAGUCGAACGGUAGCACAGAGGAGCUUGCUACUUUUGCCGGCGAGCGGCGGACGGGUGAGUAAUGCCUGGGAAAUUGCCCAGUCGAGGGGGAUAACAGUUGGAAACGACUGCUAAUACCGCAUACGCCCUACGGGGGAAAGCAGGGGACCUUCGGGCCUUGCGCGAUUGGAUAUGCCCAGGUGGGAUUAGCUAGUUGGUGAGGUGAUGGCUCACCAAGGCGAUGAUCAAUAGCUGGUUUGAGAGGAUGAUCAGCCACACUGGGACUGAGACACGGCCCAGACUCCUACGGGAGGCAGCAGUGGGGAAUAUUGGACAAUGGGGGCAACCCUGAUCCAGCAAUGCCGCGUGUAUGAAGAAGGCCUUCGGGUUGUAAAGUACUUUCAGCGAGGAGGAAGGCGUUGUGGUUAAUAACCGCAGCGAUUGACGUUACUCGCAGAAGAAGCACCGGCUAACUCCGUGCCAGCCGCCGCGGUAAUAC
This 530-nucleotide ribosomal RNA is filed under the name uncultured bacterium. RNAcentral describes it as "bacterial SSU rRNA". It matches the Rfam family "Bacterial small subunit ribosomal RNA", at positions 8 to 526 of the family's 1533-position model. The record is from RNAcentral.